This 397-nucleotide ribosomal RNA is filed under the name uncultured bacterium. RNAcentral's name for it is "partial 16S ribosomal RNA". It matches the Rfam family "Bacterial small subunit ribosomal RNA", at positions 362 to 776 of the family's 1533-position model. The record is from RNAcentral.
UUUUCGACAAUGGGCGCAAGCCUUAUCCAGCCAUUCCGCGUGAUUGAUGAAGGCCACAUGGUUGUAAAGCUCUUUUGUCCGGGACGAUAACGACGGUAUCGGAAUAAUAAGCCUCGGCUAUCUUCGUUCCAGCAGCCGCGGUAAUACGAAGGGGGCUAGCGUUGCUCGGAAUUACUGGGCGUAAAGGGCGCGUAGGCGGACGUUUAAGUCAGGGGUGAAAUCCCGGGGCUCAACCUCGGAAUUGCCUUUGAUACUGGAUGGCUCGAGACCGGAAGAGGUAAGUGGAACUGAGAGUGUAGAGGUGAAAUUCGUAGAUAUUCGCAAGAACACCAGUGGCGAAGGCGGCUUACUGGUCCGGUUCUGACGCUGAGGCGCGAAAGCGUGGGGAGCAAACAGG